Molecule: long non-coding RNA, 5136 nt
Filed under: Sus scrofa (pig)
Lineage: Eukaryota; Metazoa; Chordata; Mammalia; Artiodactyla; Suidae
Description: lncRNA (ENSSSCG00000056059.1)
Source: RNAcentral
AAAUAAAUAUUAUUCAGGAGUCAUCUGGAUGAAAAUGAAUCCAACUUGAACUAGCUGGAACAAUGUGAAACAUUCAUUGGUCCACAAAUGAAGGAUGGACUUUGUUUGGGAGGAGUCAAAUUUCCCAGAAACCUCUCUGUCCUUGUCCUGUCCCUGUUUCCUUCUUUGUGUCGGUUUCUUUCUUUCCUACUGCAGACUGAAUUUCUCCAUGGAGUAGCAGAUGUCACAUCAGUUUUCACCUUUCUCCUCACAGAGGAAAAGUCUCCCUCCAAGUCACUUCCUAUUCUACCCCUACCUCCCUUCAAACAUUUCUUUCAGCUCCAGUUUGAAAAAUCCUAAAACAGAACUCUGACCUAGCUUGAGUCAGAGUCCUUUCUUUUGGCCAAUCACAACCACUGGGCCUGAGAAGCUGUUUCUUUCUAGCCCUUACAGAAAGAACACAAUAAGAGAGAGGUUAGGGGUAGAUAAGAAGCUCUCUUAGAUGUGUAAUUUCUGUCUGAGCUCAAGGGCCCGAGAAACAGGAGAGCUGCUGAUAUGUCUGAAAUCAUGGUAGAAACCCAUGCUUCGGUUCAAAGGCAGGAAAAGACCAACGAUUCAUCUCAACUAGUGAGGCCAAAGUUUCUUCUUAUUCAAUCUUCACAUUCUGUUUAGGUCUUCAACUUCCACAUUAGGAGGAUCUCCUUCACUCAGUCUACUAAUUCAAAUGCUCAUCUCAUCCAGGAACAACCUCACAGGUGAUGCUCUUAAUAAUGUUGGCCAAAUGUCUGGGCACUUUGUGGUCCAGUCAAUCUGACAGAAAAAAAAUAGUGCAUCCUAACCACACAACAUACACAAAAAUAAAUUCCACAUUCGUGAAAUGUGAAAAGUAAAGUUUAUCACUUUUAAAAGAAAAUGUAGGAGAAUAUUACUAUGAUGUUGAAGGUAAGGAAGGAUUUUGUGAAUGUGAUGCAACAGGCACAAACCAUAGAAGAAAGUAUUUGAUAGAUUAAAAAUUAUACAUUAAAUAUACACUGGACAUUUUAUACAACAAAAGAAACAAUAUACAAAGUUAAAAUGGAUGCCACAAGCUUGAAUACAUUUGUAAUAUAUUUUAAGAAAAAAACUGGUAUUCAGAGAGUAAAGACAUUGUGUACAUAACUUGGACAAAAACUUUUUACACAUGCACAGACAUACACAAAUCUAUGUAAUGUUGUUUGUAGUAGCAAAAUCAUGCAAACAAUCUAAAUGUCAAACACUAGGAGAACUGAUAUAUAAAAUUUAUCAUAUUCAUACAGUCAAAUAUUUAUUGUACUAUAGUUAACAAGGAUGAACUAAGACUAUGUGUGUAACACACAUACAUCUUGAAAGCAUAAACCUGAGUGAAAACUUAACAAUAAAAACAUAGUUGAUAUUAUACCACUAAUCUAUAUAUAAAACACACACAUAAAAUUACUGUUAUUAAAGUUGAAAACAUGGAUAAGAAGGAAAAUAAUAAUUUUUAUAAUUGUGGUUAUAAUGAGAUAAACCUACAAUAAAUUUCAGCUCUAUCCGUAAUGCUUUCUCUCCUUUGAAAAAAGAUCUGGCUCAAGCAUGGCAAAAAAUAAUAACAUUUAAGAAAUCCAGAUGGUAUUUAAAUGAAUUUUUGAUGUAUCUUUUUUUGUAAUUUUCUGUAUUUAUAAACACAGUAAAUAAAUCUUUGAAGAAAUCUGUUUAAACAUUCUCAACAGAAGCAAAUGUUUUGGCUUUAAGUGGAUCCACACAAACUAGUUUUCAUUAACAUUUACUGACCUUAGGAAUUACGGGCUUUAAGUUUGAGGCAAAGAAGAUCAUGAUUUGAAUAGUUUACUUCCUGAGCUAUGUGGUUCCCCACCCCCACACGGGUACGAGAUGCUCCACAGCGUUCAGGAAUCACAUGUGACUCAGCCUUUCUUGGUCCUAAAGAAGGAUUUUCUAUGGAGUGGGAAUUCCAUCCUUUGUAGGACAAAAUGGCCACAAAAAUUUUAAAUUCAUGUUUAUUAGGUGGUCAUGUAGUUGUGUAGGAGGAAAGUUCUAAUUAAUCAAUCAUUAAUUUAUUCAACAACAAAUUGGACAUCUACUUUGGUUCUGGAAUAAACAGGGCAUGUAAGGUGGAUGUGCAAGGAAAUACUUCUCCAGUACAGUGAAAUUUUUUUAAUUAUUUUAACAGCUGUUACCUAAAUUUCUCUCAGAGAGUGAACUGCAUUUGACAAAUUAAAUUCCUUUAGGUGGAAGAUAUCCUAAGUGAAGAGCAAACAAACAAAACUCUUCCACAGGGGAAAAUGUGAAGUCCUUCUUUAAAAAAAAAAAAGUGACAGUGAGGUCCUGUUGUGGCUCAGAGGGUUAAAAACCCAAUGCUGUCUCUCUGGGGAUGUAGGUUUGAUCCCUGACCUUGCUCAAUGGGUUAAGAACCUGGUGUUGCCACAAGCUGCAGCACAGUUUGCAAAUGCAGCUCAAAUCCAGGGUUGCCAUGUAUAGGUAUAGGUUUGCAGCUGCAGCUUCCAUUCAACCCCCAUGCUGGGAACUUCCAUAUGCUGCAGGUGUGGCCAUAAAAAGAAAAAAGUAAAAGUGAUGGGGGUGGGGGAGAUUGAGGUGAGUGAAUAGAGGGCUGAGCCUUGAAUGGGGAGGAAAGGGAUACUACUAACAAGAGCAAAAGGCUAGAUACUGCAUAGAAUAAAGGGAAGUAGCCCUUUGGUAUCCUAAAAUGAAUUUUAAGAACAGUAAUAAAUACUACAAAACUGUCAUUUAUUUUUCAGAAUACUGCAGUGCAAUUCCCCACCAUGGUAUGCAUAUAUUCAGUAAGUUGCUAUCAGGACAAAUGUUUUAAGGGAGGGACAUUUUUGCAAAAAUUGGAGACACAGCCUGGUCAGGGCUGUCAGGAACAAAGACAAGCCACACAAUAACAGAGGCCCAAAGAUGUUGAGUUGAUUGUGACCAUAAAAGUCUUCAUGCGUUGAAAUACAAUACCUUUGUUUUGGAUUCCCAUUGCCUGGAAAACUGGAGGUAUGAACCAAUGCUAUCUAGAUCUCAAGAGGACAGUGGAAUCCAACUCAAGUGUAGUAACAAAGGAAUGUGACAUGUUUGCUGAGAAGAGAAAGUAAUUUCCUGUGGGAGUGAUGAAGUUUUCAUAGGGGAUAUGGUAGUUGAUCUGGGUACUAAAGUAUGCAAAUGGGUGUGCUGGAUUGACAAGGUAAGAAAGAGCAGAGGGAAGAGGAUAGGAAGAGUCAUAGGCCAACAGUGCAGUGGUUAAAAACAGAGACUCUGGGAUAGAUUGCUUUGUUUAAAUUCCAGCUCUGCCACUUACACGUUAUAUCCCCUGACUGCUACUUACCCUUUUUGUGCUUAAAUUGCUUUUCCUGUGCAAAGGGGAUAAUAACAGCAUCUCCCCCCAAAGAGUUGUUUGUAAUGACUAAAUGAAUCACCAAGGAUUGAAAGUGAGAGUGAAGGCAAGGAGAGUAGUUUCGAAGUUUCUUCAUUGAUCUGUACUGAUUCCUAAGAGGGAAGAGACAAGUUCCUCACCUAGGGCAUGGUGGAAUGAAUGAAGGAAAAUAGGCUUAUGUUAGAAUUGACAAUUUCCCAUAUGGUCUUGUUCCAGCCUUAGAAUUCAUGAUGCUCUAGACCAGAAGUCUUCAGCAGAAAUACAAUGCUAUGGUAAAAAUCUUUAUACAAAUGCAAGCCACGUAUGUAAUUUCAAAUUUUCUAAUAGCCACAGUAAAAAAAGUAAAAAUAAAUAAGUGACUUUACUUUUAAUAAUGUAUUUUAUUUAAUGCAAUAUAUCAAACAUAUUAUCCUUUCAAACUGUAAUCAAGAUUAAAAUUUAUUAGUGAGAUAUUUUAUAGUCUUCUUUUCAUAUUAAGCUUUAAAAACCUGGUGUGCAUUUUGUAUUUACACUACAUAUCAGUUCAGAGUAGUUGUAUUUCAAGUGCUCAAUAGCCAUGUGAGACUAGUAGCUACCAGACUAAGAAGGAAGAGUAAAUCUUUCUGCCAUCUUUAUUGUCUUUCAGCUUAGGAACGCUCUAGAAAGUUCUAGAAAAUCCAUCCACUCCUUGUUCUGGCCAGAGAUGAAAGGAGAUAUCUCAUUAUUUAUAAGGUCCUUUAAGCUGACAUUGAGGGUAGGCACAUUGGGCUAACUCUAUGGUAAAAAUCCUUAUUAUUUUCCAGUGGUCUGAUGUUCUGAAGCCUAGAGCUAUGAUUUUUGAGAAUUUGUCUUAUUUCCUGCAAAUUUGUAGGGCUUGCCUGCAUUGUAUUCUAACUCUACCAUAACUUAGGGUGACCUCAUAAAGAUAGAAUUAGCUUUUAUGUGGACUAAAAAGUGACCUGAAAUGUUGUGAGGGUAGUGGUGAGGUUUCUUUUUACACAGAAUCAUUUAUUUGUUAAACAAAGGUGAGGGCCUACUAUGUGUGAAGCUAGGAUUCAGAAACACAGUGCUGACCCUGAGACAUGAACCCUUCAUUCAUGAAGCUUCUGUCAAGUUGGUGUAAGAUAGAAUCAUUUUUGCUCAAGCCACCUGGUCCGGGAGGCAGAGGCAUAGACUGCAUGGCUCUGGAACGACUCUUUACUGGAAGAUUUGUUUGACUUGCAGGUGACAGAGUUGUAGGACCCUGCCUGGUUGAGGUAGGUCACUCUCUUCAAAACUCCCGUGUAGUGGGUUGAAUGGACUUUGAGUAGAUUGAAUGGAUUUUCCUUCAGAAUAUUUACGAGCCAACUCUGUGCUGGCACCUCCAUUUAGGAGUUUCCGUUGUUGCUCUGCAGGUUAAGGACCUGAUGUUGUCUCUGUGAGGAUGCGGAUUUGAUCCCUGGCCUCAUUCAGAGGGUUAGGGCAUUAUUGUAAGCUGUGGGGUAGGUCACAGAUAUGGCUCAGAUCCGGCAUUGCUGUGGCUGUGGUGUAGGCUGGCAGCUGCAGCUCUGAACAAAAAACUUCUGGAGUUCCUGUUGUGGCUCAGUGGUUAAUGAAUCUGACUAGGAACCAUGGGGUUGUGGGUUCAAUCCCUGGCCUUGCUCACUGGGUUAAGGAUCCAGCGUUGCCGUGAGCUGUGGUGUAGGUUGCAGAUGCGGCUCCGAUCCCACAUUGCUGUGGCUCUGGCGUAGGCCGGCAGCUGCAGCUCCAAUUUGACCCCUAGCCUUGGGAACCUCCAUAUGCUG